Molecule: ribosomal RNA, 592 nt
Filed under: uncultured organism
Description: bacterial SSU rRNA
Rfam family: Bacterial small subunit ribosomal RNA
Source: RNAcentral
CGGCAGGCUUAACACAUGCAAGUCGAGGGGUAAGUUCCUACUUGUAGGAAACACGACCGGCGCACGGGUGAGUAACGCGUAUGCAACCUGCCUCUAACUGGGGCAUAGCGCGAAGAAAUUCGGAUUAAUUUCCCAUAUUAUUCAAUGAUCGCAUGAUGAUUGAAUGAAAGCUCCGGCGGUUAGAGAUGGGCAUGCGGGUCAUUAGCUUGUUGGUGAGGUAACGGCUCACCAAGGCUGCGAUGACUAGGGGGCCCGAGAGGGUGAUCCCCCACACUGGUACUGAGACACGGACCAGACUUCUACGGAAGGCAGCAGUGAGGAAUAUUGGGCAAUGGAGGCAACUCUGACCCAGCCAUGCCGCGUGCAGGAUGACGUGCCUAUGGGUUGUACACUGCUUUUCUGAGAGAAGAAUCCCCCCGACUCCUCGGGGGUUGCCGGCAUCUCACGAAUACGCCUCGGCUACCUCCGUGCCAGCAGCCGCGGUAAUACGGAGGAUGCCAGCGUUAUCCGGAUUCCUCGGGUUUACAGGGUGCGUACGCGGGACAGCCCGUCACCGGUGAAAGCCUGCACCUCACCUGUGGAACUGCCAUUG